GGAGAGAUGGUAGAGCGGUCGAUUACAACGGUCUUGAAAACCGUCGUACCGAGAGGUACCGGGGGUUCGAAUCCCUCUCUCUCCGCUA
RNAcentral lists this transfer RNA (88 nucleotides) under Hallella multisaccharivorax DSM 17128. Its description in RNAcentral is "Prevotella multisaccharivorax DSM 17128 tRNA-Ser". It matches the Rfam family "tRNA". From Rfam's summary of the family: Transfer RNA (tRNA) molecules are approximately 80 nucleotides in length. Their secondary structure includes four short double-helical elements and three loops (D, anti-codon, and T loops). Lineage: Bacteria; Pseudomonadati; Bacteroidota; Bacteroidia; Bacteroidales; Prevotellaceae. The record is from RNAcentral.